AGAGAAAUUCUGGCAUUAAGUGUAACCGAAACCCUGAUUAAGCCCUUGGAAAAAUUCAGAAAAGAGCAACUUGGAGCUGUAAAGCUGAGCCCGUUUCCCACGUUGGGGCAGCACCUGUAGCCGACCCACCAGGCCGGCCAGGACCUAGACCUGCUUUGCUGUUGUCCCUGUCCCUGGGCAAACAAGGAUGAAUGGCAAAGACACACGGAGUCAGUUUAAUGUGCGGGCAGCCAGGGAGCCCUUGGCUCCUAGGAGCCCCUCAUCUUGCCUUAACUCACGCAAACCUGGGUCCAAGCAGUCAAAGUGAUGAGAUGCACCUGCUUUCCAGCAUCCGCUAGUGCACUCUGGUGAACAGCUGAACCUUGGCUGAACUAGCUUUUCCGGAGAACCUGGGUACCUGCUAGCCCUGAGUGCGGCCCUUCUCCUUUGUGCUCACGGAGGAGGCCGAUCAGGCCUCAUUCUCCUCUGGUCCCCAGCACCCCGCCCUGGGGAGCUUGUCACCAUAUUUGCUGUGGAUCCCUUUAUUUCCCUUUACCAUUUUAUUUCACAGCCUCCCAUGAAGCUUUCUGCACUGUUGGCCUUUGGUGCUGAUGGCGCCACAGGAACUUAGGACGGGAGCCCAACAACGCGGAAGCCCAGCACGUUGAGAUCUCCCAGAAAUACCAGAGCGUGGCUUGACUGGAGAAUUUAGAUUUGCUCUUUGGAACAUCUGCCCAGUUAGUACCACGUGGGUUUAGACAAGCAGCAUGGAAGAGUCAAGUAGAUACAACUACAUUUUCUAUAUAUAUAUUUAUAUAAUUUUUUUCUUUUCUGUGUGUGUUAUUGGGCAAUGAACCCAGGCCCUCACAAAUGCCAGGCAAGUGCUCUUCCACUGAGCUACACUGUCAGCCCUUUCUAAAAUUUGAUUUUUUUUUUUUUGUCACUGGGGAUGGACUUCAGGUCCUUGCGCUUGUGAGGCAGGCGGUGGAACCACUGAGCUUAAAUCCCUGGCCUAUUUUUAAAAUUUGAUUUUGAGGGAGCGUUUUACAAAGUUACGCAAGCUGACCUUGAACUUGCAAUUCUCCUGCCUCAGCCUCUUGAGUAGCUGAGAUUACAGGAGUGCACUUGCAUGCUGGGAUAACUAAACAUGCUGACAGUAGUUUUACUCAACAGGAUAAAAGUUUAAACAGAAGCGUUGAAAAAUGCUUAUUUCUGAUAUAUGAUUUUAUCAUUUCACCUCAACUCUUUUAUCAGAUGCUCACCUCUGAUUCUCUUCAUCAUUCUGUCCAACACUUUGUCUGAUGAAUACAUUUUUAAUCAAACCUGGCUUGCCAAGAUUCUGUAAAUGACUGUAAAAUAUGAGUAAAAAACAAAUGUGGGUGAAUAACUGUCUCAAAUUACGUUUGAUAAGCAAACACUGCUUGGAUUUAAUUGUUUAUUUUUAGUAAUAAAACACAUUAUACCUAUCUUGUGUGGCAUAGUGAGAGAGGCCCCGGGCGAUAACAGAGAAUUAAAGCCCUGGCUGUCCUGCAGGGUGGUAGCAGGUCAGUGGGAGACUGUGAGAUAAAGUAGUAAAAAUGCGUCCUUCAAGUGGCCAUGGGGCUGUCAUGCCCCUGCCACUCAGCUCCAGAACACCAGACAAGCUUCAGGAAGGCUGGCUGCUGCUUCCUGGUUUGAAUCCAUUCCCAGUGGCUCUAUGAGCUGUGUGAUUUGGGACAAGUUACUGAAGAGCUCUAAAUUUCUAUUUUCUGAUCUGCACAAUGAGGCCAAUUGCAUUGGCUUUGGAGGUUAUUUUGAAAAUGGAAUGAA
Heterocephalus glaber (naked mole-rat) is the source of this 1788-nucleotide non-coding RNA. Lineage: Eukaryota; Metazoa; Chordata; Mammalia; Rodentia; Bathyergidae. The record is from RefSeq and is a predicted model, not a curated record.